This 58-nucleotide non-coding RNA is filed under the name Dictyostelium discoideum. Its description in RNAcentral is "Class I RNA from Dictyostelium". It matches the Rfam family "Class I RNA from Dictyostelium". Lineage: Eukaryota; Evosea; Eumycetozoa; Dictyosteliales; Dictyosteliaceae. The record is from Rfam by way of RNAcentral. RNAcentral also lists the same sequence under 1 other name.
GUUGACCUUACAGCAAAUCUUAAAGCUACUUCAUUCUAAGAAAAACUCCUGUCAACUG